GCCCUCUGGUAUUCCGGAGGGCAUGCCUGUUUGAGUGUCAUGAAACAUCAAUCAUUCAUCUUGAUUGGAAAUGGACGUUGCCCUCGGCUCGUCUCAAAGCGCUUAGUGCGGUCGACGUGAUAAGUUUUCGUCUCAGCCGUGCUUGACACCCAUCUUUCAUCUCUGACCUCAAAUCAGGUAGGACUACCCGCUGAACUUAA
RNAcentral lists this unclassified non-coding RNA (200 nucleotides) under soil metagenome. RNAcentral's name for it is "partial contains 5.8S ribosomal RNA, internal transcribed spacer 2, and large subunit ribosomal RNA". The record is from RNAcentral.